This is a long non-coding RNA of Astatotilapia calliptera (eastern happy), 1172 nucleotides long. The record is from Ensembl. Lineage: Eukaryota; Metazoa; Chordata; Actinopteri; Cichliformes; Cichlidae.
AUAAUGUCAUUGUUCUAUUAUGUGUUUUAUCCUAUUAAAUGGGAGACGGAGGCUAAAAUCAACAUAUCAGAGGACAGUUGGCUAAAUAUAUGUAGGACACAGAUGGAAACUACUAGUUUGGGUUAUUGGAGGGAAUUCACGUGGAAAAUUUUUAUUAGGUUUUUUGUAACACCCAAAAUAAAAUACAAACAAAAAGGUCAACUUACAGAUGGAUACUGCUGGAGAAACUGUGGAGAAAACAUGGCAGAUCAUAUAUUUUGGAAAUGCCCAAUAAUCCAACCAUACUGGAGUGAAGUGGUCGAAUCAAUUUACUUGGUGCUGCGUGGACAGUAGCAAAAACCUGACGACAUGGGACCUGAAAAGAGGUGGAGGGGAGCUCCCCCAGACUGGGCAGAUCUGAGGGUUUCCCUGUGCCAUUAUGUUAUUGUCAGUGCGUAUUAUAUUUGUUUGUUUGUUUUUGUUUUUUUGCUGUUUUUGUUUUUUUCAUAUGGAUGACUGUCAUAAUUACAAAACUUUCAAUAAUAAAAAAAAAUCCUAUUGUAAAGUGUCCUUGGGUGUCUUGAAAGGUGCUUUAUUAAUAAAAUUUAUAAUUAUUAUUAUUUCGUCUGGGUCUCAGUAUAUUUCCUGCAUUUCCUUGACAGUCCAUUAUCUUACCUGCACUGUGUUCAGUUUUGCUUCCCCUGUCUGGUUAUGCCUGAUAUGUUUCCCAUCCUUUCAUUUUCUGGUGUCCUCUAUCUUCCUCUGCUUGUUGUUGUGUCGUGCCCUCAUGCUAUGUGUUCCCAAGUUAUCUGUGAGUUCUUUAGUCUCUCUGUUUUGGUUUCCACAUUGCGUGAGUUUAUGUUUUUUUGUGUCUUUGUUUUUUGUUGAGCUUUCAAGCUACAGCUUUGUUUCCAAGUUAGCAGCUCAAGAGACUUUCAGUGCUUUCUUAUAGGGGUGGGUUUUUAUAAUCGAUUCAUCGAUUAAAAUCAAUUCUGGCUUGGAUAACGUAAAAUCGAUUCAUUAAAAUCCUGAAUCGAUUUUUUAAUAUAAAUUUAUUUUGCCCGAAAUGCCAGAAUCUCUGGUGACAUCUCACAAAAUUUCAACAACCACCAAACAGUUAAGACAGUAAAUGAGAGCAGGUACAGGGAUUCUGCACAUAGACUUAAACACACAGCCCAACCCGCGGAUCAGAA